GUACUCUAAUAUUGACCCAAUUCACAUGUGUUGAGGUGGAUUGAGGUGUAAAUUAGUUUAAGUUACACCUCAAUCUACCUCAAUACAUGUGGAUUGAGAUCAAUAUUAGAGU
Zea mays is the source of this 112-nucleotide non-coding RNA. The record is from Rfam. Lineage: Eukaryota; Viridiplantae; Streptophyta; Magnoliopsida; Poales; Poaceae.